GGGACUACAGGCGCCCGCCAUCACGCCCGGCUGCUUUUUUUGUUUUAGUAGAGAGGAGGUUUCACCGUGUUAGCCAGGAUGGUCUCAAUCUCCUGACCUCGUGAUCCGCCCGCCUCGGCCUCUCAAAGUGCUGGGAUUACACGCGUGAGCCACCGCGCCUGGCCUGAAGAAAGUUAAAAGAAAAGCUUUUUGAAUGAAUCACUUCUCAUCUUCUCCGAAGUUGGAAGCAUCAAGAAUCUAAAUAAGCAUUUAUGAUGGCUGGCAUGAAUAUGUCUAUAGGUCCACUGAUACGGCUUUGCUACUCUACCCCGACACCCUGAGGACUAAUCUAUUAAUAGUAUGUACUUCUUAUAAUGAUGAGUGAGGCACAAAAGAGGAAGCAGAAACGCGGAAGAUAGAAUGGGAGUCCUAGUUGACCUUCAUAUAAUUUUUAGAAGAUGGAGCACUUCAACUUCUUCCACUCAUGAAAAGAGAGGUGACAGGUGAAGACAGAACAAGAAAACAAACCAAGAAUUUCCCCUCACCAGCCACCAGCUCUGCCAGCAACUUGAUCUUAGACUUCCCAGCCUCCGUAACGCCUCUGCUUAUAAUCUGUCAUGGAUUGGAAAACUAGAAAAAACAGUUUACAGAGUAUAACAAACUUUGGAGGAGUUAAUCGACUCUAAGUAAAAGAGUAUCUAGCACGGCUGUGGAACAAAGGAGAGACUCACAAACUGUUGAAAGAAUAAAUGAAUGAAUGAAUUCUGUUCAUGAGCUUUAAUAAAACAGCUCUGAGUAGUAACAGUGGAUCAAAUUUAGGCUUCUUGAUGCAGGCAUGGUGUAGAUUACUACUUCUGUAUUGUCCCAGGAGCUCAGCACAUUCCUGCAGAGAUGAUAGGAGCUCAUCUGAUACUUGUCAGCUUUGAAUAAACUCCAGUCCCCAAGAGAGAGAAUGAGAAUCACCGGAAUACGAAACUUCCCUGUUGGACUUCCCAACAUUCUUGAAUGCACCAAGAUAGCCUCUUGCUGUGAGAUUAAUAAAUGAAUAAAUGCCUCCAUAUUUUUCA
RNAcentral lists this long non-coding RNA (1046 nucleotides) under Homo sapiens (human). RNAcentral's name for it is "novel transcript". Lineage: Eukaryota; Metazoa; Chordata; Mammalia; Primates; Hominidae. The record is from RNAcentral.